This 1728-nucleotide unclassified non-coding RNA is filed under the name Leishmania donovani. RNAcentral describes it as "gene:LdHU3.26.0270(CDS-product:Scaffold_protein_N fu/NifU_N_inal/NifU-like_domain_containing_protein_putative )". The record is from RNAcentral. Lineage: Eukaryota; Euglenozoa; Kinetoplastea; Trypanosomatida; Trypanosomatidae.
UGGGCAUAAGCUUCUGGCUGCCACCCUGGUGGCAUGUUUCGCGCUUGCGCCAUUUACCAAAAGAAUGAAAAAGAUUUUGAGACGAUCAGGCGUGCGAAUGACAUCGUAUGCUGCGUGGUCCAUCACGGGUGCAUCUCUUGGCACGCGUGUGCCGUGCAGCUCAACGGUUCGCCGCUCCCUUACGAGCUCUCUCGUGAUCCUCGCCGGCGGGGCAUUCUCCGGGUCAUCUUUUGCUGCACGGGCAGUGCAGUGCCGCUGUAUUGUCGUCGAAACGAACGAGACGCCGAACCCAGACUGCAUGCGUUUCUUUUCCAUGGACGUCUCGUUUCUCAAGCCAGAGUUCUCCAUGGACAUCCCCUCGCCUGCGCAGGCGUACAAGUCGCCGCUGGCUGAGGCCCUCUUUGGCGUGGCAGGGGUGCAGGCUGUCUUUCUGGCCGAUGAGUACGUGACGGUGCGCAAGCAUCCACAAGCCGACUGGGCCGCCUUGAUUCCCAUCAUCAAGGAGGUGAUCGUUGAGUUUGCAGAGAGCAAGGAAAACGUGCUCUCUGCGGCUGGUGAAGAGGAGCUGUUGGGGUACAACAACGACACUGAACCGGAUGACGAUGAUGACGAGGUGGUGCUGGCCGUAAAGGAACUGCUGGCGACGCGCAUCCGGCCGAUGCUGCGCGCUGACGGUGGCAACGUUCGCUUCAUCGACAUGGAUGAGGGCACCGUGUUCCUCCUUCUGGAAGGGUCGUGCAAGUCGUGUCCGUCGUCACACGUCACCCUCAAGAGCGGCAUCGAGCGAAUGCUGAUGCAUUGGAUUCCGGAGGUGGUGGAGGCGCAAGAGGUGAGCGAUGAGGUGGCCGUCGACAUUUUGUCUGAGAAGCGGCUGCGCAAGCAGCUGAAGGAGAAGGGCGAGGUGGUGAAGGCGAAGUAACCGCCGAAGGGGUGCGAAGCACAGGCGAGCGAGGAUAGUAGAGUGACCCCACUGACCGCCCAGCCACUGCGCCAAGGCUUCGGGCGGCUCGAUGCCGCAUGACGCGUUUGUGAUGCUCGUCGAAGCUGCCUCUGGUAUAUUGUUGCGAGGGGGGGGGAGAGGACUGCGCUCCUCCUCGUGAUCUGUCGGCGUCUAUGUGCGUGCAAACCUGACGUCUCUUUUCGCUCAAUCCUUUUCGGUGUUAUUUGUCUCAUCCGCUGAAGAAUUUUCGACGAAGGCGAAGGGCAACACGGGUUGCGGGCGACCGCCGCGGCAUGAGGAGCCGUGCGUGACCGGUCGCCUCUCUUCCUCCGUCCGUCUCCUUCACGGGGCGAUAAUCGGCAUCGUACCCUUGCAGGCGCAGCGCCCCCCUCCCCUUUCUCCUCCCCCCACACGCACAGAGACAUAUCGGCGCGCAGGCAUGCAGGCGCAGUUGUGGGCGCGCAGGGACCUUUGAGGUCCACCUCACUAUCGUUCAGUGGACAGGGAGGGGACUCCAACUCGUGUGCUCCUCUCUCAAUGCAUUGUGUGUGGACCCCGGCGUUCCAGUUCGUCCGUUGGAGCUGGAGUGAUGUGCAGGGGAAGGAGCCGUGGAUAGGGGCAGCAAAUCAACUCUCACUGUCAUUUCGCAUGACUUGAACAUAACAAAUCGCGAGUACGUGAACGAGGCUUCAUGCGCGCAUCUGCUGUCUGCUGCCUGCACCGAUGCACGGCCUCUUACUCUCGGUUCUCUCCCUCUCUCUCUUCGCCCCUUCUCUCUCUGUGGCUAG